UACAGGGGGUGCGUGCGUUAAUCGGAAUUACUGGGUGUAAAGGGCGCGCAGGCGGCGGGAUGAGUGCGAUGUGAAAGCCCCGGGCUUAACCUGGGAAGAGCAUUGCAUACUGUCCUGCUGGAGUACAUGAGAGGGUGGCGGAAUUUCCGGUGUAGCGGUGAAAUGCGUAGAUAUCGGAAGGAACGUCAAUGGCGAAGGCAGCCACCGGGCAUGAUACUGACGCUGAGGCGCGAAAGCGUGGGGAGCGAACAGG
This 253-nucleotide ribosomal RNA is filed under the name uncultured bacterium. RNAcentral's name for it is "partial 16S ribosomal RNA". It matches the Rfam family "Bacterial small subunit ribosomal RNA", at positions 524 to 776 of the family's 1533-position model. The record is from RNAcentral.